AGUACGCCAGUCAAUCUUGGUCAAGAUCUCAGAGAACUUGACUGCAAUGUGAGAGGUGUGGCAAUCAAGAACUGGGGUGUAACCAUUUUUAAUCUGACCAAGGUGGUUCAUGAUGACGACCUGGGAGGUGAAGCUAGCAGCAACCUUUGCAGGAUCAUCCUUGGAGUUUGAGGCGACGUACCCACGCUUAAGUCCCCAAAGAAAGAAACUAAGGAUCAAAUUUUGCAGCCAAUAUGGAAUGUGCAGCCUUCACUCCAUGGCAUCAUUUCAGAUCUAUAUCGUUUGGUCCCUACAUUCAUCAGUGGAAGCUAAGUGCCGACCACAUGUAAAGUAAAAUGUUGGUAGCUCAUUAGCAAUCUAGAAGGAGUCAUAGCAUCUUCAGUAAUAUCACGAUAACGAAGAGAAAUAUUCAUCGGGGUGGCCAUGCUUUGUUGUCCAAUUUCUUGUCCUUGUGUCAAUGUAGGAGGCAAGAGAUGUGAUGAGGAAGAACCUGUAUAUAAAAUAGGUAUAUUGAGAAGGUAUUAAAGAAUCUUAAAUUCAUUAAAUAGAAGAUUAUAAGUGUCUUUUUUUAUACCGAUUUCAUUAACUUCUCGUGAACGCUUGUUCUUGAGAAAAGAUGACCUGGAAACAUUUGACCAAGGCGUUAAAUGUUCGAUGUCCCAUGGUGAAACUUGGUUUGGUCUCGGAAAUGAUGCAAAUUCAUCCCACUGCACCUGCAACAUUAGAGUUAAUUAGUGAUAUGCUAUUUAUUGCACUCAAAAACGUAUUUCUAAAAUAAUGUUAUAAAGUGUGAAUGAAAUUUUACUUCUAAGCU
Arabidopsis thaliana (thale cress) is the source of this 814-nucleotide long non-coding RNA. RefSeq annotates it as other RNA. Lineage: Eukaryota; Viridiplantae; Streptophyta; Magnoliopsida; Brassicales; Brassicaceae. The transcript has 2 exons. The record is from RefSeq.